Molecule: ribosomal RNA, 1092 nt
Filed under: Sphaeroforma sirkka
Lineage: Eukaryota; Ichthyosporea; Ichthyophonida
Description: SSU rRNA
Rfam family: Eukaryotic small subunit ribosomal RNA
Source: RNAcentral
CCUGGUUGAUCCUGCCAGUAGUCAUAUGCUUGUCUCAAAGAUUAAGCCAUGCAUGUCUAAGUAUAAAUAUUUAUAUUGUGAAACUGCGAAUGGCUCAUUAAAUCAGUUAUAGUUUAUUUGAUAAUAUCUACUACUUGGAUAACCGUGGUAAUUCUAGAGCUAAUACAUGCGAAAAAAGCCCGACUUCGGAAGGGCUGUAUUUAUUAGAUACAAAACCAAUGCGCUUCGGCGGUUUCUUGGUGAUUCAUAAUAACUUUUCGGAUCGCAUGGCCUUGCGCCGGCGACGUUUCAUUCAAAUUUCUGCCCUAUCAACUUUCGAUGGUAAGGUAUUGGCUUACCAUGGUUACAACAGGUAACGGAGAAUUAGGGUUCGAUUCCGGAGGGAGCCUGAGAAACGGCUACCACUUCCAAGGAAGGCAGCAGGCGCGCAAAUUACCCAAUCCUGACACAGGGGAGGUAGUGACAAAAAAAUAACAAUACAGGACUUUUUAAAAGCCUUGUAAUUGGAAUGAGUACAAUUUAAACCCCUUAACGAGGAACAAUUGGAGGGCAAGUCUGGUGCCAGCAGCCGCGGUAAUUCCAGCUCCAAUAGCGUAUAUUAAAGUUGUUGCAGUUAAAAAAGCUCGUAGUUGGAUUUUUUGGAUUGUGUGUAAUGGUCUGCCGUGAGGUAUGCACUGUUAGGCGCAUUCUUCUUCUCAAAGACUGUGUGUGCUCUUAAUUGAGUGUGGGCAGGGUUUGGGACUUUUAAUAGUUGGGGACAUUAAUAUUUAAUUGUCAGAGGUGAAAUUCUUGGAUUUAUGAAAGAUUAACUUCUGCGAAAGCAUUUGUCAAGGAUGUUUUCGUUAAUCAAGAACGAAAGUUAGGGAUCAGAAGACGAUCAGAUACCGUCGUAGUCUUAACCAUAAACUAUGCCGACUAGGGAGUUGGUGGCAGUUAAUUAUAUGACUCCAUCAGCACCUUAUGAGAAAUCAAAGUUUUGGGUUCCGGGGGAGUAUGGUCGCAAGGCUGAAACUUAAAGGAAUUGACGGAAGGGCACCACCAGGAGUGGAGCCUGCGGCUUAAUUUGACUCAACACAGGAAAACUCACCAGGU